AUUGAACGCUGGCGGCAGGCCUAACACAUGCAAGUCGAGCGGAUGAAGGGAGCUUGCUCCUGGAUUCAGCGGCGGACGGGUGAGUAAUGCCUAGGAAUCUGCCUGGUGGUGGGGGAUAACGUCCGGAAACGGGCGCUAAUACCGCAUACGUCCUGAGGGAGAAAGUGGGGGAUCUUCGGACCUCACGCUAUCAGAUGAGCCUAGGUCGGAUUAGCUAGUUGGUGGGGUAAAGGCCUACCAAGGCGACGAUCCGUAACUGGUCUGAGAGGAUGAUCAGUCACACUGGAACUGAGACACGGUCCAGACUCCUACGGGAGGCAGCAGUGGGGAAUAUUGGACAAUGGGCGAAAGCCUGAUCCAGCCAUGCCACGUGUGUGAAGAAGGUCUUCGGAUUGUAAAGCACUUUAAGUUGGGAGGAAGGGCAGUAAGUUAAUACCUUGCUGUUUUGACGUUACCAACAGAAUAAGCACCGGCUAACUUCGUG
RNAcentral lists this ribosomal RNA (484 nucleotides) under uncultured bacterium. RNAcentral's name for it is "partial 16S ribosomal RNA". It matches the Rfam family "Bacterial small subunit ribosomal RNA", at positions 30 to 507 of the family's 1533-position model. The record is from RNAcentral.